Long non-coding RNA from Anoplopoma fimbria (sablefish), 248 nucleotides. RefSeq lists it as uncharacterized. The transcript is spliced from 3 exons. Lineage: Eukaryota; Metazoa; Chordata; Actinopteri; Perciformes; Anoplopomatidae. The record is from RefSeq and is a predicted model, not a curated record.
UUGAUUUUUAAACUAUAACUCUAAAACUUGUGUUUCAUUAAUCUUUUAGGGAGAGGAGUGGAGGUGAUGGGCUAAUGUGAACCUCCUCUUUAAAAAGAGAGGAGAGAAGAGGAGAGAAGAGGAGGACAGAAGAGGAGGUGGAGGGCGAGUCUGAACCUUCUCUUUUAAAAGAGAGAAUAUGAGAGGAGACAAGGAGAGGAGAAGAGGAGAGGAGGUGGAGGGCCAGUGUGAACCUUCUCUAUUAAAAG